AUUGAACGCUGGCGGCAGGCUUAACACAUGCAAGUCGAGCGAGUGGCGGACGGGUGAGUAAUGUCUGGGAAACUGCCUGAUGGAGGGGGAUAACUACUGGAAACGGUAGCUAAUACCGCAUACCAUCGGAUGUUCCCAGAUGGGAUUAGCUAGUAGGUGGGUUAAUGGCUCACCUAGGCGACGAUCCCUAGCUGGUCUGAGAGGAUGACCAGCCACACUGGAACUGAGACACGGUCCAGACUCCUACGGGAGGCAGAAGUGGGGAAUAUUGCACAAUGGGCGCAAGCCGGAUGCAGCCAUGCCGCGUGUGUGAAGAAGGCCUUCGGGUUGUAAAGUACUUUCAGCGAGGAGGCGUUACUCGCAGAAGAAGCACCGGCUAACUCCGUGCCAGCAGCCGCGGUAAUUC
RNAcentral lists this ribosomal RNA (406 nucleotides) under uncultured bacterium. Its description in RNAcentral is "partial 16S ribosomal RNA". It matches the Rfam family "Bacterial small subunit ribosomal RNA", at positions 30 to 526 of the family's 1533-position model. The record is from RNAcentral.